CUAGGCAUGCGCUCUACUGCUGAGUCACAACCUCAGCCCUCAUUAUUUUCUUUUUAAGUGAUGAGAAAGAAUGAGGUGGAGAAAGGCUUGACCAAGAUCACACAGUUUUAAGAGAAGAUCUGGGAUGAGAACACUAGUGUGUUUCACUCUUGCUAGACAUCAUGGCCUCUCAAGGUGGCUCUAUGUUUUUCUUUAGCUCUAAGAUAGCACUUGGCCAUGCCUCAAAGGUGCCCUGGAUCCCCUGGAUCUGUCUCUCAGGAGUCUCUUCCUAGGAUUCUUUCCUAUAAGAAUUGGGGUUGUACACAGUAGGUUAUAAACAGCUCAGAUCACUCCCCUUGCAGAUUAUGGAGAAGAUACUCAGGUGCUUAGCUUCACCUCUGUCUGGCCAUGUCUCCUGACUAGCCACCUCUUUCCCAAUACUGUUCUUUGGGCAGUAAUUGAAACUGGUCCUCAAGAUCUGCUGUUGUCUUAAUCCAUUUUCUGCUGCUCUAACAUAAUACCUGAACCUGGAUAAUUUGUAUAGAAGAAACCUAUUUCUUCUAGUUCUAGAGGCAAGGAAAUCUAAGACCCAGAUACUAGUAUCUGGUGAGAGCAUUCUCUCUGCAACACAGCAUGACAGAUAACAUCUCAUCACAGAAAGCAUGUAGCUCUCCUCCUCAUCUGCUAAAGCUCCUAUGGUCAUCAUGAGGGCCCCAGCUUAAUGACCUCAUCUAACCCUCAUUACCUCCCAAAGGCCCUACAUCCAUAUAUAAUCAACAUAAGAAUUUGGGGAUUAAGUUUCCAACAUGCGACUUUUGGGGCACAUUCAAACUAUAGCAUCUGCAUUCCCUUAGGGAUGGUUUAACAUCUGCACUGGGAACAACAUUCAGUGAAGGAGGAUCACCUACGAGCAGAGCCUGAUGUAACUGAAAGAGACCUGCAAUAAAGUUGAUCUUACAUGGUGGCUAGUGGUCGGCGCAGUCAGCACGGAGCCAUAUAGAAAUUAGAACUCUAUGGUGAACGGUUCCUGAAAGUGACUGUAGUAUUACUUUAAAACAAUUCCAGCUGCAGACAGAUGUGGAAAUGCUUUCCUGUUAAGCAUGUGAGACCUACAGCAGACACACUCAGGAUGUCUGCCUUCCCGAAAUAACGCAGGGGCAUUCCAGCUUUGUGAAAAUUUCCUGUAAUUUUCCUUGAUCCGUGUGACAGUUCGUGUCCAGAAGAGCCAUUGUCCUCAGAGGUUUAGCACUACACACAUGACUUGUAUUAUGUCUCUGCUGGACACUGUGAUCUGUGUGGCUGCUGAAACUCCACUGCAGUUUCCUCAUCUGUAAAGAAGGGGUAACAAAAAGUCUCAUCUCUUCCCUUCAGGACCAGGAUGAACACUGGCCCAAGACCUUUUCCAAACGUGGGAGCCUAAGGAUGAAGAGUUAUCUAAAACAGUUGCUAUUUCAGUCCAGAACUUGAAGUUAAAAAUGUUCGAAUGGAAAAAAAAAAGUUUAAAAAUAUAGAUGUGUAUUUUUCUAAAACCCCAUUAAGCUGUCAAGGGCCCUCACUGUGUGUUUCCUUUCCCAUCGUUGCUAAUCGGCAAGGUAUGUGUGUGCCCUAAACAGAAGGGUAGCCAGCUUCCUUCCUGCUCCUGCUCCUCUUUUUCUCCACCCUAACCGCUUCUGCUGCUGCUGGUGUUUGAGCUGUUCCCCCGCCUUGGGGACUCAGGAGCUGGGCCUCCACUACCUGGGGAUACUGCUAGAUGGAACAGCAGCCCAGCUCCUCCACAAAGGCUAGGAUGCCCACAGCACUCUGCAGUGGUACAUUUAGACUGCCUGGGCCCCACUUAUUGGAUGUAUAACUUAGAGUGCUUGAUUCCUCUGGUGUAGAAUGGGAAUUGGCAACAUUCCCUGCCUCUCCGUGUUGCUGUGAGAUGAAAUGAACAGAAUGUGUACAGCAUUGGAGCAGCACCAGGAUUCAUGUUGGUCGUUAUUAUUGCCAUUAUUAUUGCUACUGGAACUAGCACCACUAUUGUCUCGCUGCUGUCCAUUCUUUAGAAAGUCUUAGCAUAGAAAAAGUAGAAGAUGGAUGUUGAGAUCUCCUUAUCCAAGCACCUAAUUUUAAAAUAAAAGAGACAUUCUUGAAGAUGUCCAGUUAGGUAUCAUGGCAGAGCCACACAUGGCUCCAACACCCUGGCCACGGGAACACUGCUUGGGGCACCCCUUGUCCUCCUUUCUUAUCCCACUGAAUGCCUGCAACAAGGUAUUUAAUAUUUACAUUGCUUCUAAUGCUGUCCCACCAUGUGACUUAUUCUGCCUUGCUGAUGUCCAGAGGACAUAUAAUGCACACAUAACUUGCUCUGUCCCUUGCCCAUCACAGCAGCCAAAACAGAUAGAGGCCUGGAGAAGAGCUAUUUACAAGAGACAUCCCAAUGGUGAGGAUGACGUGGGGCAGUUAGAGGCAUGGGACUGGGUUCUUGACUUAGAUUCAAGGCAAUGUCAUGGGAUCCUUGUUCUUCAACUUCGCUUUUAGCUAAUGUGACAUUGUUUGAAAGUAAGCAUUUACAAAAGGAGAUUUGGGGAUAAGUUAGAAUACAGAGAGCAGUUUUUAGCCCUGGAGUCACAUGAUUCUGAUAUUUAUACAGAAAACACAGUAUCAUUUCCACCCAUUAGAUAAGAAGCAGGGGAAUCCAGGUUCCAGGGAUGCUGUGGGUAUUCUUGCAUACCAAGCUAGGGGGAUUUAAGAAGAACCCUUCAAGAAGGAGGUGCAGACAUUCCCCAAACAUUUCAGUAGCCCAUUGGCCUUAUUUCUGGUAUCUUCACCACAUCAGCUGUUUAGAAACCACGUUGACUAACUGUCAGGUGCCUGGUGGGCUGUGUGUGCUAGGAAGGACUCCAAAAUGGGUGCAUCAAGAUCCUAGCUUUUAAAAAGCUUUCAAUUUAGUUGGGGAGAUAAGCUGUUAGCAGCUUUAAUGACAGUUCAGGACAUCCCAACAUAGCACAGGGCGAGGACCAAAUAAAUUAUAGCCCCAGGCUGCUGUGACAAGGCCCUUGUGCAGAGAGUCAGGAGGAGAGAGCUCUGCUCCUAGGAAUCCCAGCGUCGUGCUCUGUGACCUGGGUCAUCCUUGACCUUUCUAAACCCUGAUGUUCAAAUCUGUGGAGGGAUGUUGACUUUUCUGGGCUCCUACAAUCCUCAGUCUGUAAAUAAUGGAUGCUCAUCCCACAGACUUGCUUCAGCUCUCUUGUUCUGUGUCUCUGAACAACAGCCUCUCAAGUUCAGGCCUAGAACUAGGCAGGAGGCAUCUAGCAUGGCCAUUCAUGUUGCCUCCCUCUUCCCAUAUCUGAUGCAUUCACACUGGGGGCAGAGAAGAAAAAGGAAUGCUGGGAACGGACAAGGGAUGCUUGAGACAGGGCUGUCUGCUGGGCGAGAGCACAGCUUAAGUCCCUUGUUCACUCUGUAAGAUGCACAGAGUCUGAAAACAAAAGCACUUUUAUUUUGGGGAAAGCAUCUUCUGAACUUGAAAGCCUCUAAUACCUUUUCUCAUUAAUUUUAUAUGAAACAAGUGUUCAGACAAAUUCUAGCACUUUCCUAUGGGUCAUUCGCUUAAGGAGAGCUUGUGUACAGCAGUGGUGUUGAUUUUUGGCACUGCCUCCCUGGGCACUGAUCUUCUGAAAUGCCUGAACCACACCCUCACCAAUACCCAUGUGCUUAUGACCCCACAAAACCAACCUAUUUUCUGCACAUGGGCAUUUACUAGCCCACUUGACGGGAAGUCUGGAAGCAGAUGGUGGUCCUGAUUGUUUAGUGGCCCAGGGAUUUUGGUGGGGCCUGGGCUCUUCCUGUCCUUCCUGUUUGCCCUCCUCAUGAUGACAAUAUGGUGGUCACAGUUGCAAGCAGCAAAUCCUUACAUGAGAGAUCAAAAGCAAAAGUGGGAAGUAACCUAAGCUCAUUUCUCUUCACAUCUCUCAUUGGUCAAUGAAGGUCUUUCCCAAGUAGGAUUCCUUUAUGUUUCAUUGGCCAGAACUCAGGUGCCAACUGCAGAUCAAUCAUUGGCAAAAAGCAAUUGCUUUGUUAACAUAGAACUCUCAAACCCAAUGGAGGUAUUAUCAUUCUGGAGUAGGUGUGAAAAUUGGUUCUCAGAGGGCUAGAAUACCUUACUCUUUUAAUAUAAAAUGUAGAUAUACACAGCAUAUCUGCGGUAUUACGUUUUCACGGGAGAAGACAAUGUAAAAAGGAUGUAUAAUGCAGAUUAUAUUAUACACAAUGGAGUAUUACUCUGCAUUAAAAAAUGACAAAAUCAUAGAAUUUGCAGGGAAAUGGAUGGCAUUAGAGCAGAUUAUGCUAAGUGAAGCUAGCCAAUCCCUAAAAAACAAAUGCCAAAUGUCUUCUUUGAUAUAAGGAGAGUAACUAAGAACAGAGUAGGGACGAAGAGCAUGAGAAGAAGAUUAACAUUAAACAGGGAUGAGAGGUGGGAGGGAAAGGGAGAGAGAAGGGAAAUUGCAUGGAAAUGGAAGGAGACCCUCAGGGUUAUACAAAAUUUCAUACAAGAGGAAGUGAGGGGAA
Marmota monax (woodchuck) is the source of this 4530-nucleotide long non-coding RNA. RefSeq lists it as uncharacterized. The transcript is spliced from 6 exons. The record is from RefSeq and is a predicted model, not a curated record. NCBI's taxonomy places the organism in Eukaryota, Metazoa, Chordata, Mammalia, Rodentia, Sciuridae.